Molecule: long non-coding RNA, 482 nt
Organism: Triticum dicoccoides
Lineage: Eukaryota; Viridiplantae; Streptophyta; Magnoliopsida; Poales; Poaceae
Exons: 2
Source: RefSeq, a predicted model, not a curated record
AGGACGGGUCUCACCUGCUUUAUAUGAGACCUGGUCUCAUAUAAUUUUUUUCCCACAACAAGGAGGGCUCAGAAACUGAAGUUACUGGAGACAGUGCUGGAGCUGAUGGUCCGGUGCGCACCAAAGAAGCUUCUCCUGUCCUCUUCACAGCAUUGCAAUCAUUCAAAGAAGCUUUGAUUGAUGGCGACGGCACCAAAAUCGCGGAGAUGGAGGCCUUCUUACUUGAUGCUGAGCUCGGCUCUCUUCUGAACAGAAUCACUACUUUAGAUGUAGCAUUAGCAGCUGGGAGAGACCGUGUGUUGAGAAUAGGUGCUCGCCCUGAUAUCUGUAGGGAAGAGAUGGGGAGAGAGGGUUGGUGGCAGAUGUUCAAGGGGGUGUUGUGGAGAUUUUCUUUCCGGCUCUUUGCCAGUUGAUCUUGGAUUAAGCUUAGGUGAAAAUGCGUUGCUGAUUUAGUUAUUGGAUGGUGUGAAGUGUGAACUGAA